AAGCAUAAGGGAUGAACCAACAACAAGUUUAGCAAGAACCACAAAUGAACAAUGAAGCAAGGUUGAAACUGAACUUCUCAGUUCACCCUCGCCAACAUGUCAAUGAGCUGUUGACAUUAUUAAGUCAUUCAUGAACAAAGAUGAGAUAGGAUCCCUGCUAAACAAAAGAUAGAGGAAGACCCGCAACAAGACGGGGAAGAGAUCAAGAACAAAUCCCUAGAGCUCC
RNAcentral lists this long non-coding RNA (226 nucleotides) under Brassica napus (rape). RNAcentral describes it as "long non-coding RNA (BNAP_LNC003461)". The record is from RNAcentral. Lineage: Eukaryota; Viridiplantae; Streptophyta; Magnoliopsida; Brassicales; Brassicaceae.